RNAcentral lists this unclassified non-coding RNA (185 nucleotides) under uncultured fungus. RNAcentral's name for it is "sequence contains ITS1". Lineage: Eukaryota; Fungi. The record is from RNAcentral.
UUUGUUUUUGUUUUUAAACGUAACAAUAAGUAAAAGAGUGUGGGUCUUCGACAGGUGCUAGCCCAUUUUUCAAUCGACUGUAGGCCUGCCGAAGCAACUUGACUUGGAAACAAGGGUGAAGAGUGGCAUUUGGUUUACCCAAUGCGUUCUCGGUAAUGAUCCUUCCGCAGGUUCACCUACGGAAA